UUGGAGAGUUUGAUCCUGGCUCAGAUUGAACGCUGGCGGCAGGCCUAACACAUGCAAGUCGAGCGGAUGACGGGAGCUUGCUCCUUGAUUCAGCGGCGGACGGGUGAGUAAUGCCUAGGAAUCUGCCUGGUAGUGGGGGACAACGUUUCGAAAGGAACGCUAAUACCGCAUACGUCCUACGGGAGAAAGCAGGGGACCUUCGGGCCUUGCGCUAUCAGAUGAGCCUAGGUCGGAUUAGCUAGUAGGUGAGGUAAUGGCUCACCUAGGCGACGAUCCGUAACUGGUCUGAGAGGAUGAUCAGUCACACUGGAACUGAGACACGGUCCAGACUCCUACGGGAGGCAGCAGUGGGGAAUAUUGGACAAUGGGCGAAAGCCUGAUCCAGCCAUGCCGCGUGUGUGAAGAAGGUCUUCGGAUUGUAAAGCACUUUAAGUUGGGAGGAACCCAGUAAGUUAAUACCUUGCUGUUUUGAC
Molecule: ribosomal RNA, 473 nt
Filed under: Pseudomonas putida
Lineage: Bacteria; Pseudomonadati; Pseudomonadota; Gammaproteobacteria; Pseudomonadales; Pseudomonadaceae
Description: bacterial SSU rRNA
Rfam family: Bacterial small subunit ribosomal RNA
Source: RNAcentral